Molecule: ribosomal RNA, 433 nt
Filed under: uncultured bacterium
Lineage: Bacteria
Description: partial 16S ribosomal RNA
Rfam family: Bacterial small subunit ribosomal RNA
Source: RNAcentral
AGCGAACGCUGGCGGCAGGCCUAACACAUGCAAGUCGAACGAACUCUUCGGAGUUAGUGGCGGACGGGUGAGUAACACGUGGGAACGUGCCUUUUGGUUCGGAAUAACUCAGGGAAACUUGUGCUAAUACCGAAUGUGCCCUUCGGGGGAAAGAUUUAUCGCCAUUAGAUCGGCCCGCGUCUGAUUAGCUAGUUGGUGAGGUAACGGCUCACCAAGCCGACGAUCAGUAGCUGGUCUGAGAGGAUGACCAGCCACACUGGGACUGAGACACGGCCCAGACGCAGACGGGAGGCAGCAGUGGGGAAUAUUGGACAAUGGGCGAAAGACUGAUCAAGCUAUGCCGCGGGAGUGAUGAAGGCGUUAGGGUUGGAAAGCUCGUGUACCCGGGAGGAUAAUGACAGGACCGGGAGAAGAAGCGCCGGCUAACUCCGUG